AGCGAACGCUGGCGGCAGGCCUAACACAUGCAAGUCGAACGAACUCUUCGGAGUUAGUGGCGGACGGGUGAGUAACACGUGGGAACGUGCCUUUUGGUUCGGAAUAACUCAGGGAAACUUGUGCUAAUACCGAAUGUGCCCUUCGGGGGAAAGAUUUAUCGCCAUUAGAGCGGCCCGCGUCUGAUUAGCUAGUUGGUGAGGUAACGGCUCACCAAGGCGACGAUCAGUAGCUGGUCUGAGAGGAUGACCAGCCACACUGGGACUGAGACACGGCCCAGCCUCCUACGGGAGGCAGCAAUGGGGAAUCUUGCGCAAUGGGCGAAAGCCUGACGCAGCCAUGCCGCGUGAAUGAUGAAGGUCUUAGGAUUGUAAAAUUCUUUCACCGGGGACGAUAAUGACGGUACCCGGAGAAGAAGCCCCGGCUAACUUCGUG
Molecule: ribosomal RNA, 433 nt
Filed under: uncultured bacterium
Lineage: Bacteria
Description: partial 16S ribosomal RNA
Rfam family: Bacterial small subunit ribosomal RNA
Source: RNAcentral